This is a long non-coding RNA of Dioscorea cayenensis subsp. rotundata (Guinea yam), 215 nucleotides long. RefSeq lists it as uncharacterized. The transcript has 3 exons. NCBI's taxonomy places the organism in Eukaryota, Viridiplantae, Streptophyta, Magnoliopsida, Dioscoreales, Dioscoreaceae. The record is from RefSeq and is a predicted model, not a curated record.
UCUCCAAACCAGCAGAUCCAUCACCAUCUCUCCGAGCUGCCGAUCGUCGCCAUCUCAUCUUCGAAUUGGUGGGCUGUUUUCCAAGAUUCGGCAAAAUGAUCGACUGGCUGUAAGCAAGCUUGUUACAAGCUUGACAAAGGGAUCAGUCCGGUCACCUUUAGCUCAGUGUCUUCUGAUCCGCUACACUAGCCAGGAAUCAUUUUUUUAUAGUCAAG